CAGAGAAUAGUUUAUUGUAAAAUACCGGUUUUGGGAAUCGGCGAUAAGAGGAAACUCUUUUCUCUGA
Molecule: transfer RNA, 67 nt
Filed under: Solenocera crassicornis
Lineage: Eukaryota; Metazoa; Arthropoda; Malacostraca; Decapoda; Solenoceridae
Also listed under: 1 other name
Description: tRNA-Pro
Rfam family: tRNA
About the family: Transfer RNA (tRNA) molecules are approximately 80 nucleotides in length. Their secondary structure includes four short double-helical elements and three loops (D, anti-codon, and T loops).
Source: RNAcentral